This 24-nucleotide non-coding RNA is filed under the name Gossypium hirsutum (cotton). Lineage: Eukaryota; Viridiplantae; Streptophyta; Magnoliopsida; Malvales; Malvaceae. The record is from RNAcentral.
AACUUGCAUAUCACCAAUGUAAGC